Molecule: ribosomal RNA, 445 nt
Filed under: uncultured Rhodocyclaceae bacterium
Lineage: Bacteria; Pseudomonadati; Pseudomonadota; Betaproteobacteria; Rhodocyclales; Rhodocyclaceae
Description: bacterial SSU rRNA
Rfam family: Bacterial small subunit ribosomal RNA
Source: RNAcentral
UGGAUGAUGUGGAUAAUCGAUGCAACGCCGAAAACCUUACCUACCUUGACAUGUCCGGAAUCCGAAGAGAUUUGGGAGUGCUCGCAAGAGAACCGGAACACAGGUGCUGCAUGGCUGUCGUCAGCUCGUGUCGUGAGAUGUUGGGUUAAGUCCCGCAACGAGCGCAACCCUUGUCAUUAGUUGCCAUCAUUGGUUGGGCACUCUAAUGAGACUGCCGGUGACAAACCGGAGGAAGGUGGGGAUGACGUCAAGUCCUCAUGGCCCUUAUGGGUAGGGCUUCACACGUCAUACAAUGGUCGGUACAGAGGGUUGCCAACCCGCGAGGGGGAGCUAAUCCCACAAAGCCGAUCGUAGUCCGGAUCGCAGUCUGCAACUCGACUGCGUGAAGUCGGAAUCGCUAGUAAUCGUGGAUCAGCAUGUCACGGUGAAUACGUUCCCGGGUCUU